UACGUAGGUGGCGAGCGUUAUCCGGAAUUAUUGGGCGUAAAGAGGGAGCAGGCGGCACUAAGGGUCUGUGGUGAAAGAUCGAAGCUUAACUUCGGUAAGCCAUGGAAACCGUAGAGCUAGGGUGUGUGAGAGGAUCGUGGAAUUCCAUGUGUAGCGGUGAAAUGCGUAGAUAUAUGGAGGAACACCAGUGGCGAAGGCGACGAUCUGGCGCAUAACUGACGCUCAGUCCCGAAAGCGUGGGGAGCAAAUAGG
RNAcentral lists this ribosomal RNA (252 nucleotides) under uncultured bacterium. Its description in RNAcentral is "partial 16S ribosomal RNA". It matches the Rfam family "Bacterial small subunit ribosomal RNA", at positions 524 to 776 of the family's 1533-position model. The record is from RNAcentral.